This 1436-nucleotide ribosomal RNA is filed under the name Microbacterium sp. Its description in RNAcentral is "bacterial SSU rRNA". It matches the Rfam family "Bacterial small subunit ribosomal RNA". Lineage: Bacteria; Bacillati; Actinomycetota; Actinomycetes; Micrococcales; Microbacteriaceae. The record is from RNAcentral.
UGAUUGCAUCUGGUGAUUAGUGGCGAACGGGUGAGUAACAAGUGAGCNACCUGCCCCUGACUUUGGGAUAAGCGCUGGAAACGGCGUCUAAUACCGGAUAUGUCCCGUCACCGCCUGGUGUGAGGGUGGAAAGAUUUUUCGGUUGGGGAUGGGCUCGCGGCCUAUCAGCUUGUUGGUGAGGUAAUGGCUCACCAAGGCGUCGACGGGUAGCCGGCCUGAGAGGGUGACCGGCCACACUGGGACUGAGACACGGCCCAGACUCCUACGGGAGGCAGCAGUGGGGAAUAUUGCACAAUGGGCGGAAGCCUGAUGCAGCAACGCCGCGUGAGGGAUGACGGCCUUCGGGUUGUAAACCUCUUUCAGCAGGGAAGAAGCGAGAGUGACGGUACCUGCAGAAGAAGCACCGGCUAACUACGUGCCAGCAGCCGCGGUAAUACGUAGGGUGCAAGCGUUAUCCGGAAUUAUUGGGCGUAAAGAGCUCGUAGGCGGUCUGUCGCGUCUGUUGUGAAAUUCCGAGGCUCAACCUCGGGUUUGCAGUGGGUACGGGCAGACUAGAGUGCGGUAGGGGAGAUUGGAAUUCCUGGUGUAGCGGUGGAAUGCGCAGAUAUCAGGAGGAACACCGAUGGCGAAGGCAGAUCUCUGGGCAGUAACUGACGCUGAGGAGCGAAAGCAUGGGGAGCAAACAGGAUUAGAUACCCUGGUAGUCCACCCCGUAAACGUUGGGCACUAGUUGUGGGGUCCAUUCCACGGAUUCCGUGACCGCAGCUAACGCAUUAAGUGCCCCGCCUGGGGAGUACGGCCGCAAGGCUAAAACUCAAAGGAAUUGACGGGGGCCCGCACAAGCGGCGGAGCAUGCGGAUUAAUUCGAUGCAACGCGAAGAACCUUACCAAGGCUUGACAUGUUCCAGAUCGCCUCAGAGAUGGGGUUUCCCUUCGGGGCUGGUUCACAGGUGGUGCAUGGUUGUCGUCAGCUCGUGUCGUGAGAUGUUGGGUUAAGUCCCGCAACGAGCGCAACCCUCGUUCCAUGUUGCCAGCGGGUUAUGCCGGGAACUCAUGGGAUACUGCCGGGGUCAACUCGGAGGAAGGUGGGGAUGACGUCAAAUCAUCAUGCCCCUUAUGUCUUGGGCUUCACGCAUGCUACAAUGGCCGGUACAAUGGGUUGCGAUACUGUAAGGUGGAGCUAAUCCCUAAAAGCCGGUCUCAGUUCGGAUUGAGGUCUGCAACUCGACCUCAUGAAGUCGGAGUCGCUAGUAAUCGCAGAUCAGCAACGCUGCGGUGAAUACGUUCCCGGGUCUUGUACACACCGCCCGUCAAGUCAUGAGAGUCGGUAACACCUGAAGCCGGUGGCCUAACCACUUGGGGGAGGGAGCCGCCCAAUGUGAUCGGGGUUUAGGAGUAUGUCCACCAGGGUAACAAACGUGGUUGCUCCCCACCUU